UAUUUCAGGCGUUUAUACUGGUGA
This 24-nucleotide microRNA is filed under the name Saccoglossus kowalevskii. RNAcentral's name for it is "sko-miR-2007-5p". Lineage: Eukaryota; Metazoa; Hemichordata; Enteropneusta; Harrimaniidae. The record is from miRBase by way of RNAcentral.